AGGACUUGAUGAUGCAAGAGCAAAAGAGAUGCCUUUUAUUGCGAGCAUGGGUAUAUAUGUAAUCAGCAAAGAUGUGAUGUUAAAAUUGCUCCGUGAAAACUUUCCUGAUGCCAACGAUUUCGGAAGUGAAGUUAUUCCUGGUGCAACUAGUAUUGGACUGAGGGUACAAGCUUACUUGUAUGAUGGGUACUGGGAAGACAUUGGUACGAUUGAAGCAUUCUAUAAUGCAAACCUGGGAAUUACUAAAAAGCCAGUUCCUGAUUUCAGCUUUUACGACCGGUCUUCCCCAAUUUACACGCAACCUCGAUAUUUGCCACCUUCUAAAAUGCUUGAUGCUGAUGUUACAGAU
RNAcentral lists this unclassified non-coding RNA (349 nucleotides) under Hevea brasiliensis (rubber tree). Lineage: Eukaryota; Viridiplantae; Streptophyta; Magnoliopsida; Malpighiales; Euphorbiaceae. The record is from RNAcentral.